Molecule: ribosomal RNA, 449 nt
Filed under: uncultured bacterium
Lineage: Bacteria
Description: bacterial SSU rRNA
Rfam family: Bacterial small subunit ribosomal RNA
Source: RNAcentral
AUGCAGUCGUACGAGAGUUUUUAACUCUAGUGGCGGACGGGUGAGUAACACGUGAGAAUUUACCUUUAGGAGGGGGAUAACAGCGUAUCAAUAGAUAUUACGGAAACGGCUGCUAAUACCCCAUAUGCUUUUGAGUGAAAUAGAUUUAUCUGCCUAAAGAGAAGCUCGCGGCUGAUUAGCUUGUUGGUAAGGUAAUGGCUUACCAAGGCGACGAUCAGUAUCUGGUUUGAGAGGACGAUCAGACACACUGGAACUGAGACACGGUCCAGACUCCUACGGGAGGCAGCAGUGGGGAAUUUUCCGCAAUGGGCGAAAGCCUGACGGAGCAAUACCGCGUGAGGGAAGACGGCCUAUGGGUUGUAAACCUCUUUUUUUCAGGGAGGAAUUCAAUGACGUGUACCUGAGGAAUAAGCAUCGGCUAACUCCGUGCCAGCAGCCGCGGUAAUACG